Non-coding RNA from Coffea arabica (coffee), 1188 nucleotides. NCBI's taxonomy places the organism in Eukaryota, Viridiplantae, Streptophyta, Magnoliopsida, Gentianales, Rubiaceae. The record is from RefSeq and is a predicted model, not a curated record.
CUGGAUAGACAAUCCCACGCUGCUUCCUUCCAUACAUCAUCAAGUACUACAAGACAACAUUUGUCUUGGAGAUCUUUAUAGAGCCUUUCUUCCAACACUUCCUCUUCCACUUCCAUCUUUUCCAACAUUUCAGAUAGCUUGUCAUCGUUUGGAUUUAAUUGCUUUAUGAUUGAUCUUAGUAUCUUUUUGUGAUCAUAGCUUGAAGAGACACAUACCCAAGCACGGCAGUUGAAUCUUGCCCUGACAUCAGCAUGGUUAUAAACUUUUUUGGCUAGAGUUGUCUUACCAGCACCUCCCAUGCCAACGAUUGAAACCACACGGCGGUUUUCGUCCUCUUUCAAAAGUUCUGCCACCAGCGAUUUUGUAAUCUCCACGAAGCCCACUAUAUCCUUGUCCUCAGUAACUGGAGAGGACCGUCGGAGCCGUUGAAGCUCUUCUCCAUGUGUACUCGUUCCCUCUCCAAGAUUUUUGAUACCGUAUUUUUCACGGCUGUCGGCUAUGUCAUUGAUCCUCAUCUGUAAGGACUCAAUCUCUUUACCUAUCUUGUAGAAGUUCACAAUUUUCAAGGGAUAAUAUGUCAAUUUGGUGACCAAUCCCUCGUCCUUUGUGAAGAGCUCAACUUUGCUGGCAAAUAUCUCAAUGAUAUCCUCCGCAUCGUAGGCAGCAUCUCGGAUUUCAGAAACCCAGUGGCGAAUCCUCUCCUCUUCAUCUUGCCUUUGAUCUGCAUCUUUCAGGAAACACCGCAUCCGGGCCAGAUCAUUUCGAAGUCUCUCAACUUGUCGUCGAACGCCUUUCAGGAAAACAAUUUUUUGAAUCAGCAGAUCGCCAGUUCUCUCAAUAACAAAAGAGAGAGCAGGGUCAGCCAUCGUGGUAAAGUGAGCUUUGCUUUGAACAACUAGUAAAGGAGGAGAAGCUUUUGCCUGUUAGUCAAUAAGAAAGCAGUUCGAUUUACAUGGUAGGGACGUCUGGGAGCCCUCCAAAAAAGAUAAAGGUGCUGCUGCUGUCGUGUUUUGGGACGGUGGAAUAAUUCAUCUUUAUCCUUGCCUUCAUUUUAUUAUUUGCCUGAGAUCCUUUCUUUCCAUCAUGUUCACCUUUUCUACUGACCUAAAUAAGCUACAGUAAUCAAGCGCAUCUUUUCCAUUUCAUAAUCUGGACACAUUAUUGAAUUUUGCUCCUCGGUUAUUUCAU